AUUACUACCCGUGUCCGUUGCUGAGACCGUCUUGUCAAUAUUAUUACCCAUAUUCCUUCCUCUGAUCAAACGUCAGGUCCACAGUAGUACUGGUAUUUGUUCCUCAUAUCCAUAGUUUUUGAAUGUCCUAAAACAAGGACAGAAGUAUCCAUAUCCAUCUUUUCAUCUCCGUUGGUCAAUCCUCAAAAUCACCAAUAGUCAUUCCUCAAGCAGAUAGUCUGCAAUUAGUGUGUCCCUAAGAUCAAAGGGCAUGCGCAGAACAUCAAUAUCAUCCAAUAUUGAUGAAAAUCAGAAUUUGGAAUGGAGGCGCUCAUAGCAGAAUCCGACUGCAGAUCGGCACCACUAGCCAAGGUCGGUGAAGAUGCAGAGGCCUUAUAUUGCUGUUUAUCUUUCCAAAAGAAACUGCAUGUCCUGAAAGCAGACAACAGUUCAGAGCUGGCAGCAAUUUAAAGGAUUCUUUCAUUUUCCAGGAAGCAUCUCCUUUCAAUCCGUAGGACAUACGGACCGAGUUCACAGUUCUGGCCUGAGAGGCCACUAUGGAAAGCACAACUAGUGUAUAGCUGCUAAUCUGGCAGUAUUACAUAGAAGAGAAAAAAAAACUGCAGCAAAGGCUGCUGAAGUCUAGAAGACAUGAAUGAUAAUCAGUCAGCAGAAACCUGUCUGGUUAUUAAAAAGGAAGUUUUAGGCUCCAUCCUUUAAUGGAGUAGCCUAAGAGGCCACUAUGGGCAAAACAACUGUUGCAUAGUCGCUAAUCUGAAAGUCGAA
Molecule: RNA transcript, 765 nt
Organism: Fragaria vesca subsp. vesca
Lineage: Eukaryota; Viridiplantae; Streptophyta; Magnoliopsida; Rosales; Rosaceae
Exons: 2
Source: RefSeq, a predicted model, not a curated record